Molecule: microRNA precursor, 190 nt
Filed under: Oryza meridionalis
Lineage: Eukaryota; Viridiplantae; Streptophyta; Magnoliopsida; Poales; Poaceae
Description: MIR812 microRNA precursor family
Rfam family: MIR812 microRNA precursor family
Source: Rfam by way of RNAcentral
AAUAAUCGUAGCCAUGAGUUUCCGCGUCCAACUUUAAUCGUCCGUUUUAUUUAUUUUUUUAUAGUUAGUAUUUUUAUUGCUAUGAGAUGAUAAAACAUAAAUAUUACUUUACUCGUGACUUAUGUUUUAAGUGUUUUGAAUAGCUCCUAUAUGCAUGCAUAAAGCCGUCGAUGUAGUGCAUAAUCUGCAC